CGUCCUAUUAGCUAGUUGGUGAGGUAAUGGCUCACCAAGGCUACGAUGGGUAGGGGUUCUUAGUGGAAAGUCCCCCACACUGGCACUGAGAUACGGGCCAGACCCCUACGGGAGGCAGCAGUAGGGAAUAUUGGUCAAUGGGCGCAAGCCUGAACCAGCCAUGCCGCGUGCAGGAUGAAGGCUCUCUGAGUUGUAAACUGCUUUUGUACAGGAGCAAAAAGAUCCCUGCGGGGGUUCUUGAGAGUACUGUAAGAAUAAGCACCGGCUAAUUCCGUGCCAGCAGCCGCGGUAAUACGGGAGGUGCAAGCGUUAUCCGGUUUUAUUGGGUUUAAAGGGUGCGUAGGCGGCUUAUUAAGUCAGUUGUGAAAUCCUAGUGCUUAACGCUAGAACUGCGAUUGAUACUAUU
RNAcentral lists this ribosomal RNA (406 nucleotides) under Candidatus Cardinium sp. RNAcentral's name for it is "bacterial SSU rRNA". It matches the Rfam family "Bacterial small subunit ribosomal RNA", at positions 234 to 637 of the family's 1533-position model. The record is from RNAcentral. Lineage: Bacteria; Pseudomonadati; Bacteroidota; Cytophagia; Cytophagales; Amoebophilaceae.